GAUGAACGCUGGCGGCGUGCCUAAUACAUGCAAGUCGAGCGAACAGACGAGGAUCUUGCUCCUCUGACGUUAGCGGCGGACGGGUGAGUAACACGUGGAUAACCUACCUAUAAGACUGGGAUAACUUCGGGAAACCGGAUCUAAUACCGGAUAAUAUAUUGAACCGCAUGGUUCAAUAGUGAAAGACGGUUUUGCUGUCACUUAUAGAUGGAUCCGCGCCGCAUUAGCUAGUUGGUAAGGUAACGGCUUACCAAGGCAACGAUGCGUAGCCGACCUGAGAGGGUGAUCGGCCACACUGGAACUGAGACACGGUCCAGACUCCUACGGGAGGCAGCAGUAGGGAAUCUUCCGCAAUGGGCGAAAGCCUGACGGAGCAACGCCGCGUGAGUGAUGAAGGUCUUCGGAUCGUAAAACUCUGUUAUUAGGGAAGAACAAAUGUGUAAGUAACUAUGCACGUCUUGACGGUACCUAAUCAGAAAGCAACGGCUAACUACGUG
Molecule: ribosomal RNA, 497 nt
Filed under: uncultured bacterium
Lineage: Bacteria
Description: partial 16S ribosomal RNA
Rfam family: Bacterial small subunit ribosomal RNA
Source: RNAcentral